RNAcentral lists this ribosomal RNA (253 nucleotides) under uncultured bacterium. RNAcentral describes it as "partial 16S ribosomal RNA". It matches the Rfam family "Bacterial small subunit ribosomal RNA", at positions 524 to 776 of the family's 1533-position model. The record is from RNAcentral.
UACGAAGGGGGCUAGCGUUGUUCGGAUUUACUGGGCGUAAAGCGCACGUAGGCGGAUUGUUAAGUCGGGGGUGAAAUCCUGGAGCUCAACUCCAGAAUUGCCUUCGAUACUGGCUUUCUAGAGGCUGGAAGAGGUUAGUGGAAUUCCCAGUGUAGAGGUGAAAUUCGUAGAUAUUGGGAAGAACACCAGUGGCGAAGGCGGCGACCUGGGUAGAUACUGACGCUGAGGCGCGAAAGCGUGGGGAGCAAACAGG